AGGAAAGCAGGUCUGAAGUGCCCGUUUUAGAGUGGCUAUAUUCUGAUGUGUUACGACUAUAACUUCGGCCCAGGGACCAAGCUGACCAUUGUAGACGACCUGAGCAAGGUGACCUCCCCCAAGGUCACCGUGUUUGAACCCUCCGAAGCAGAGAUCUCCCGCACCCAGAAGGCCACCCUCGUGUGCCUGGCCACAGGCUUCUACCCCGACCACGUGGAGCUGAGCUGGUGGGUGAACGGGAAGGAGGUGGAGAGCGGGGUCAGCACGGACCCUCAGCCCUACAGGGAGCAGCCCGACCAGAGCGACUCCAGCUACUGCCUGAGCAGCCGGCUGCGGGUCUCCGCCGCCUUCUGGCGCAGCCCCCGCAACCACUUCCGCUGCCAAGUCCAGUUCUACGGGCUCGCGGAGGGGGACCCGUGGCCGGAGGGCCGGGCCAGGCCCGUCACCCAGAACAUCAGCGCCGCCGCCUGGGGCAGAGCAGACUGUGGCUUCAGCUCAGCGUCCUAUCAGCAGGGCAUCCUGUCUGCCACCCUCCUCUACGAGAUCCUGCUGGGCAAGGCCACCCUGUACGCUGUGCUGGUCAGCGCCCUGGUGCUGAUGGCCAUGGUCAAGAGAAAGGAUUCCUAAUGCCAGCGCAGAGGUGAAGCCAGGAGCUUCCAGACGGCUGUUUUCCCAGGAUGGAUUCUAGCCGGUGCUUCAGAAGAGCUGUUCUCACCUCUUAUCUCAACAGCUACCUGCUACGUGCAUGCAUGCCUGGAUGCUCAUGUCCCAAAUCUCCCUAGCCCAGGGGGUACCCUAGCAUGACCACAUUGACUGAACAAAUAAAAAUGUCUUGUUCUGGCUUGACUCUG
Manis pentadactyla (Chinese pangolin) is the source of this 851-nucleotide non-coding RNA. The record is from the annotation of a RefSeq genome assembly. NCBI's taxonomy places the organism in Eukaryota, Metazoa, Chordata, Mammalia, Pholidota, Manidae.